RNAcentral lists this ribosomal RNA (521 nucleotides) under Harringtonia lauricola. Its description in RNAcentral is "Raffaelea lauricola partial large subunit ribosomal RNA". It matches the Rfam family "Eukaryotic large subunit ribosomal RNA", at positions 112 to 649 of the family's 3401-position model. Lineage: Eukaryota; Fungi; Ascomycota; Sordariomycetes; Ophiostomatales; Ophiostomataceae. The record is from RNAcentral.
AAUUUGAAAUCUGGCCCCCCGCGGGCCCGAGUUGUACUUUGGAGAGGACGCUUCUGGCGCGGCGCCGUCCGAGUUCCCUGGAACGGGACGCCGGAGAGGGUGAGAGCCCCGUACGGGCGGCCGCCUAGCCUCUGCGAAGCUCCUUCGACGAGUCGAGUAGUUUGGGAAUGCUGCUCAAAAUGGGAGGUAAAUUUCUUCUAAAGCUAAAUACCGGCCAGAGACCGAUAGCGCACAAGUAGAGUGAUCGAAAGAUGAAAAGCACUUUGAAAAGAGGGUCAAACAGUACGUGAAAUUGUUGAAAGGGAAGCGCCUGUGGCCAGACUUGCGCCCCGCGGACCACCCGGCGCCUCGCGCGCCGGGGCACGCCAGCGGGGCGCAGGCCAGCAUCGGCUCUCUCGGGGGGACAAAGGCCGCGGGAACGUAGCGCCCUCGCGGCGUAUUAUAGCCCGCGGCGCCAUGCCCCCGGGGGGGCCGAGGACCGCGCUCCGGCAAGGAUGCUGGCGUAAUGGCCACCGGCGACC